GAUGAACGCUGGCGGCGUGCCUAAUACAUGCAAGUAGAACGCUGAAGGAGGAGCUUGCUCUUCUGGAUGAGUCGCGAACGGGUGAGUAACGCGUAGGAAACCUGCCUGGUAGCGGGGGAUAACUAUUGGAAACGACAGCUAACACCGCAUGACAACAGUUAUUGCAUGAUAACUGUAUGAAAGGGGCAACUGAUCCAUUACCAGAUGGACUUGCGUUGUAUUAGCUAGUUGGUGAGGUAACGGCUCACCAAGGCGACGAGACAUAGCCGACCUGAGAGGGGGAGCGGCCACGCGAGGACGGAGACACAGCCCAGGCUCCUGCGGGAGGCAGCAGUAGGGAAUCUGCGGGAAGGGACGGAAGUCUGACCGAGCGACGCCGCGUGAGGGAGGAAGGUUGUCGGGUCGUAAAGCUCUGUUGGGAGGGAAGAACGAGUGUGAGAGUAGAAAGUUCACACUGUGACGGUAGCUUACCAGAAAGGGACGGCUAACUACGUG
RNAcentral lists this ribosomal RNA (495 nucleotides) under uncultured bacterium. Its description in RNAcentral is "partial 16S ribosomal RNA". It matches the Rfam family "Bacterial small subunit ribosomal RNA", at positions 28 to 507 of the family's 1533-position model. The record is from RNAcentral.